GCGAAGGAGGUGUAUCAUGGCGUCGGAGCUAGAAGUACCAGUCAGCAUACAUUGAUCACUGGUUUCUUCAUCGCUGCCUAAUUUUGGCGAAAUGAAGGAAUGUCACAACUUUACUGACGGAGAAAAAAAGUUUUGGCUAAGGUAAGUGAACCGCUGUAUUGCCUUUUCAUCAUUUAUAAACAAAAGUAAUAAGGGUAUUUUGCAUUUUCUGUUUUAGAGGAAUUCACUGUUUUAGAGGAAUGAACUGGUGGAUGGUUAAGAAGCUGAUGUGUCUUCUAGAAAUCUAAACAAAUUUGUGCAGAAUAACCAUAGGUCCAUUAGUGUCAGCUGUCUUUGCCAAUGGGUGGAUCCACACUGCAAAACUUAUGAAGAUGAUUGCAAACCGAAGAAGAGUCCUUGGACAAAGCAUUAAACCCUCUUGGUCCCCACUACACAGACUAAUGACGAUGAAGUACCCAAAUGAAGACACUAGCAGUGUUAUUAUGGAGUAUAUGGAUACAGACGUUGGCAACACUCAGGAGCUGAUCCAGAGGAAUCAUGGGAAUCUAUGUCAUACGAUUUGAAGGUGCAGACAUUGAAGACAGCACAGCAGAUGUUGGAGUGUUGGAAGAUAAAGUUCUUCAGGACCUUAGCAGUAAACCCUAUGAAAAAACAUGUUGCUGGGACUGAUAUAUGGACUAAACUUGAACUCCUGAAAUCAGGUACACAUUUGGAGUACUGCAGAAGUUAUUUCUGGAGCCAGUUCCUGUUCCUGGAUUAAGGUUUGAUUGGUUACCUUUAUAUGCCAAUUAGA
Long non-coding RNA from Labeo rohita (rohu), 793 nucleotides. RefSeq lists it as uncharacterized. Lineage: Eukaryota; Metazoa; Chordata; Actinopteri; Cypriniformes; Cyprinidae. The record is from RefSeq and is a predicted model, not a curated record. The transcript has 5 exons.